Molecule: long non-coding RNA, 1984 nt
Organism: Equus caballus (horse)
Lineage: Eukaryota; Metazoa; Chordata; Mammalia; Perissodactyla; Equidae
Source: Ensembl
GGGAGGUGGAGGGAGGAGGUAGGGAAACAGCUGUGGAAAGUGAUGUCAUUUGACAAGGCUGGGAAGGAGCAGCUUGGUGAGAGAACUGGCCUCUCACCCCGGUGCAGAGCUCUCCCAUGCGCUCGCCUGCAUGAAAAGCCGGGAGGAGUGAUCGUGCUGUUGCUCAGGGGCGGGCUUCAGCUCCGAGUGGGAAGCGACUUGCCUGGUUCCCACAGAGAAGAGGACCUGGUCAUGUGCCUUGAAGUGUGGCCAGAGGGAUCGCAGGAGAAAGCAGAGCCACAGUCAUUGGAGGGGUUCAAGCAGGCAAGUGACAAGGUCAGAUGUGCAUCUUAGAAAGAUGCCCGUGGCUGCUGGAUGGCUCCCGGGGACCGGUGUGCAGCAGAGAGGCCACUGAGGUGUCGCUUGCAUCAUCCAGACAAAAACGAUGGUGCAGGAUCGUCAGGGCAGGUGGAAAGGAACGAAGAGAUCCCACAGACAUUGAGGAGAUGCAGUCUGUAAAGCGAAGUGAGCAAAUGUGAGAGGUACUAGGUAUACAUCUGGGUCAUUUUAACUGCUUUUGAUAUUCCUUUGGGUGAAUAAAUCACAUUAAAAAAUAAUUUAUAUUGCGGUAACAUUGGUUUAUAACAUUAUAUAAGUUUCAGGUGUACAUCAUAUUUUGAUUUCUGUAUAGAUUACAUCAUGUUCACCACCCAAAGAGUAAUUACCAUCCAUCACCACACACAUGUGCCUAAUCACCCCCUUUCACCCCCUCCCUCCCCUCUUCCCCUCUGCUAACCACCAGUCCAAUCUCCUGUCGCUAUGUGAUUUCUGUCGGUUGUUUUUAUCUUCUACUUACGAGUGAACCACAUUUUUAGAUCUCCAUUCACCUAAUGAUUGUUAUCUCCACUUUCUCACUAUUACAGACAGGACUGCAAUGAACAUCUUUGUACUCAUCUCCCUGUGCACCUGAGACUCUGUUUAGAGUAGAACUGUUUUGCUGAAUUGUGAGAGGGGUUCCCUUUUUCCAGCUGCUUAUCAGACUUGCAAGAUUUUGCCCAUCUGAUCAGCGUGAGAACAAGUCUCCGCUGUUGCCAUGUGUUUCCCUGAUCACCAGCGACGAAACCCAGCUUUGUUGGGACAGAAAUGUGCCUGGCCCCAGAGGAGGAUUCAUGAGUGAUCUAAACUCAUCAUGGAACUCUGCUUCCCUCUGCCAGGGAUGGGUCUGGAGGCGCGUGCCUUGGUUCUGGCCAAUUGUGCAUAAGGGAAAGACUCCAGGGCCUGGUGGGAAAAACCCUUCUCCAAUGACGGAGUGGAGCAGAGACGAAGUGUUUUGCUUCCUUUCCUCUCUUCCAGUAUAGAAACUGUUUGUGGUGGUUUUUAAAAUAUGUCCAUCAGGUCUUUGGCCUUCCUCCUUUCCAAAGGUGAAGCCUAAUUCUCCUCCCCUUGAUGGUGGGCCAGACUUAGUGAUUCGAUUCUAAUGAAGAGAAUGGGACGCGAGCAAAGGUGGGUGUCUUUCGAAGAUAGGCCAAAGAAGACACUGAAGCUUCAGCUUUGCUCUCAUGGAUUGCUCACUCCAGGAGAAGCCAGCCGCCAUGUCAUGAGGACACUCAAGCAGCCUGUGGAAAGACCUAUGUGGGGAGGCACUGAGGCCUCCUCCCAGCUACCAGCACCAACUUGCCAGCCAUGUGAGUGAGCCACCCAGGAGCUCAUUCAUUCUCAGUCCCAGCCAAGCCUUCAGACGGCUGUGCUCUGGCCAGCAUCUUGACUGCCACCCCGUGAAGGACCACAAGCCAGAACUCCCCAGCCAAGCUGCUCCAGAAUUCCUCCUCUCCAGACACUGUGUGAGAUCAUAAUUGUCUAUCAUUGUUUUAAGGCACCAAAUUUGGGGGUCAUUUGUUACACAGCCAUAGAUGAUGAACAUACAGUCAUACAGCUGUCUUGGAAGCAUGAGAUGACCCGGGGUUGCCUAUUUUGAGGCUUCUUGUUACAUGAGAUAAUAAAAGCC